UGGCCUGACUUAGAACUGGCGCUGGCGACGGGGAAUCCGACUGUUUAAUUAAAACAAAGCAUCGCGAAGGCCCGAGGCGGGUGUUGACGCGAUGUGAUUUCUACACAGUGCUCUGAAUGUUAAAGUGAAGAAAUUCAAUGAAGCGCGCGUGGAUGGCAGGAGUAACUAUGACUUUCUUAAGGUAGCCAAAUGCCUCGUCAUCUAAUUAGUGACGCGCAUGAAUGGAUGAAUGAGAUUCCCACUGUCCCUACCUACUAUCUAGCGAAACGACAGCCAAGGGAACGGGCUUGGCGGAAUCAGCGGGGAAAGACGACCCUGUUGAGCUUGACUCUAGUCUGCAACUGUGAA
This is a long non-coding RNA of Nanorana parkeri, 348 nucleotides long. RefSeq lists it as uncharacterized. The transcript is spliced from 3 exons. The record is from RefSeq and is a predicted model, not a curated record. Lineage: Eukaryota; Metazoa; Chordata; Amphibia; Anura; Dicroglossidae.